Long non-coding RNA from Hippoglossus stenolepis (Pacific halibut), 510 nucleotides. RefSeq lists it as uncharacterized. The transcript is spliced from 4 exons. Lineage: Eukaryota; Metazoa; Chordata; Actinopteri; Pleuronectiformes; Pleuronectidae. The record is from RefSeq and is a predicted model, not a curated record.
CACACACAUACUGCCCCUCAUAAAUCCUCAACCUCCCCUCUGCCCUCUAUCUCUACAUCUUCCCACGCCUAUCUUCAACUAACUGCCUCCCCUCCGUCCACCGCCUCGCCAAGGGCGGUGGGAAUGUGAGCACGCCUCAGACCAGGGAGAAGGUCAGCGGCGAGGAUCAUGUAUAAUUGUACUUCUGACGUGCUCACAUUUUCCAUUCAGCUCUGGCUCGACUCUACAUCUAACCCCAAUCUGCAUGUCUGUGGGAGGAAGCCAGAUAAAAACCACUCAGACACUGUGAGAGCAGAGCCCUGACCGAACCGGUUUGGAAACAGGAACCUUCUUGAUUUGAGGCGACAGUGCGAACCACCGCCCCUCUCAUGGUGUGCUCCACCGCAGGCCCCAUGAGGGAGGGGAUCAUAAGUACGGCAGGCGGAAGAGAGGUGCCGUUCCUGCUGCAACCAGACUAACAAGUUAGAAGAAGAUUGCAUGCGAAGGAGAGAGUGUUGCAUGUUACUGGAG